GACGAACGCUGGCGGCGUGCCUAAUACAUGCAAGUUGAGCGCUGAAGGUUGGUACUUGUACCAACUGGAUGAGCAGCGAACGGGUGAGUAACGCGUGGGUAAUCUGCCUUUGAGCGGGGGACAACAUUUGGAAACGAAUGCUAAUACCGCAUAAAAACUUUAAACACAUGUUUUAAGUUUGAAAGAUGCAAUUGCAUCACUCAAAGAUGAUCCCGCGUCUUAUUAGCUAGUUGGUGAGGUAAAGGCUCACCAAGGCGAUGAUACAUAGCCGACCUGAGAGGGGGGACGGCCAAAUUGGGACUUGGACAAGGCUCCAAAUCCUUAGGGAGGCAGCAGGAGGGGAUCUUCGGGAAUGGACGAAAGUCUGAACGGGGAAAGCCGGGGGGGGGAAGGAGGUUUUCGGAUCGUAAAAAUCUGUUUGUAGAGAAGAACGAUGGUGAGAGUGGAAAGCUCAUAAAGUGACGGUAACUACCCAGAAAGGGACGGCUAACUACGUG
This 497-nucleotide ribosomal RNA is filed under the name uncultured bacterium. Its description in RNAcentral is "partial 16S ribosomal RNA". It matches the Rfam family "Bacterial small subunit ribosomal RNA", at positions 28 to 507 of the family's 1533-position model. The record is from RNAcentral.